Molecule: non-coding RNA, 390 nt
Organism: Cervus elaphus (red deer)
Lineage: Eukaryota; Metazoa; Chordata; Mammalia; Artiodactyla; Cervidae
Source: the annotation of a RefSeq genome assembly
CUGACCAUGUCCACCAUGGCCUGGUGCCCUCUUCUCCUCACCCUCGUCGCUCUCUGCACAGGAUCCUGGGCCCAGGCUGUGCUGACUCAGCCGUCCUCUGUGUCCGGGUCCCCGGGCCAGAGGGUCAGCAUCACCUGCUCUGGAAGCAGCAGCAACGUUGGUUAUGGUAAUUAUGUGAACUGGUACCAACAGCUCCCAGGAUCGGCCCCCAGAACCCUCAUCUAUGGUGCAACCAGGCGAGCCUCGGGGGUCCCCGACCGAUUCUCCGGCUCCAGGUCUGGGAACACAGCCACGCUGACCAUCAGUUCGCUCCAGGCUGAGGACGAGGGCGAUUAUUACUGUGCAGCUGUUGACAGUAGCAGAGGGAGUAGGGUUCUCUGAAGCAGGCCA